RNAcentral lists this microRNA precursor (110 nucleotides) under Pelodiscus sinensis (Chinese soft-shelled turtle). RNAcentral's name for it is "miRNA (ENSPSIG00000020269.1)". Lineage: Eukaryota; Metazoa; Chordata; Testudines; Trionychidae. The record is from RNAcentral.
UGUGUAUGUACGUGUGUGUGCGUGUGUAUGUACGUGUGUGUGCGUGUGUAUGUACGUGUGUGUGCGUGUGUAUGUACGUGUGUGUGCUACGUGUGUGUGCGUGUGUAUGU